Molecule: transfer RNA, 75 nt
Filed under: Anaerolineae bacterium
Lineage: Bacteria; Bacillati; Chloroflexota; Anaerolineae
Also listed under: 1 other name
Description: tRNA-Pro
Rfam family: tRNA
About the family: Transfer RNA (tRNA) molecules are approximately 80 nucleotides in length. Their secondary structure includes four short double-helical elements and three loops (D, anti-codon, and T loops).
Source: RNAcentral
CGGGGUGUGGCGCAGCCUGGCUAGCGCGCUUGCAUGGGGUGCAAGAGGUCCCCGGUUCAAAUCCGGGCUCCCCGA